GAAAUGCGAUAAGUAAUGUGAAUUGCAGAAUUCAGUGAAUCAUCGAAUCUUUGAACGCACCUUGCGCUCCUUGGUAUUCCUCGGAGCAUGCCUGUUUGAGUAUCAUGAAACUCUCAAAGUAAAUCUUUUGUUAAUUCAAUUGGUUUGCUUUGGACUUGGAGGUUUUUUUUGCAGAUUAAUUUCUGCUCCUCUUAAAUAUAUUAGCUGGAUCUCAGUAUAUGCUCGGUUCCACUCGGCGUGAUAAGUAAUCACUCGCUGAGGACACUGUUAAAAAGGUGGCCGGGAAAUACAGAUGAACCGCUUCGAACAGUCCAUUCACUUGGACAAUAUAAGUUUUAAGAUCUGAUCUCAAAUCAGGUAGGACUACCCGCUGAACUUAA
This 380-nucleotide unclassified non-coding RNA is filed under the name uncultured Ceratobasidium. RNAcentral describes it as "sequence contains ITS1". The stretch from base 1 to 105 matches the Rfam family "5.8S ribosomal RNA", at positions 50 to 154 of the family's 154-position model. The record is from RNAcentral. Lineage: Eukaryota; Fungi; Basidiomycota; Agaricomycetes; Cantharellales; Ceratobasidiaceae.